This 276-nucleotide ribosomal RNA is filed under the name uncultured bacterium. RNAcentral's name for it is "partial 16S ribosomal RNA". It matches the Rfam family "Bacterial small subunit ribosomal RNA", at positions 1225 to 1500 of the family's 1533-position model. The record is from RNAcentral.
CUACAAUGGCGUAAACAAAGGGAAGCGAGACGGCGACGUUAAGCAAAUCCCAGAAAUAACGUCCCAGUUCGGAUUGUAGUCUGCAACCCGACUACAUGAAGCUGGAAUCGCUAGUAAUCGCGGAUCAGAAUGCCGCGGUGAAUACGUUCCCGGGUCUUGUACACACCGCCCGUCACACCAUGGGAGUCGGAAAUGCCCGAAGUCAGUGACCCAACCGUAAGGAGGGAGCUGCCGAAGGUGGAGCCGGUAACUGGGGUGAAGUCGUAACAAGGUACC